CUCUUUCUCGAUUCAGUGGAUGGUGGUGCAUGGCCGUUCUUAGUUGGUGGAGUGAUCUGUCUGGUUAAUUCCGAUAACGAACGAGACUCUCCCCUGCUAACUAGUCGGUUGGAUCUUGAUCAGUGGGUUGAGUGCCGAGUAACUCUCGCCGUGCGUGUUGUGCGUUUCGUUCCUCACGGUUCGUUGCGUGCGCAUGUGUGGUGUUGGAUGCCUUGGAUCACACUGCACCCCAAGUCCGCCGCUUUGCUAUAACUCUUCUUAGAGGGAUUCACGGCACUGAAGCCGUAAGAGACUGAGAGCAAUAACAGGUCUGUGAUGCCCUUAGAUGCUCUGGGCCGCACGCGCGCUACAAUGCCGGGCACAGCAGGUGUUUCUCCUGCUCCGACAGGAGCGGGUAACCCUCUGAAAGCCAGUGUUCUUGCAAGUGCUUCCUCCCUCGUGGAGUUGCACAGAGGCGUGCUUGGGCCUGGGACUUGCAAUUCUUUCCCACCAACGAGGAAUGCCUAGUAGCGGCGGGUCACUGAGCCCGCUGUGACUCAGUCCCUGCCCUUUGUACACACCGCCCGUCGCUACUACCGAUUGGGUGUACCAGUGAGAGCCUUGGACUGGCGUCCGUUGUUGCUCGCAAGAGUGACAAGCGGGUCCGACGGAAAGAGGUCCGAA
This 663-nucleotide ribosomal RNA is filed under the name Odontogammarus calcaratus. RNAcentral's name for it is "bacterial SSU rRNA". It matches the Rfam family "Eukaryotic small subunit ribosomal RNA", at positions 1255 to 1763 of the family's 1831-position model. Lineage: Eukaryota; Metazoa; Arthropoda; Malacostraca; Amphipoda; Eulimnogammaridae. The record is from RNAcentral.